This is a long non-coding RNA of Hyla sarda, 585 nucleotides long. RefSeq lists it as uncharacterized. Lineage: Eukaryota; Metazoa; Chordata; Amphibia; Anura; Hylidae. The record is from RefSeq and is a predicted model, not a curated record. The transcript has 4 exons.
GCGCUAGGCGUAGUCACUAGAGGUGUGUCUCCUGCUCAGAUCAGGGCUACAGUUCUCACCAUUCACCUAAUAAGAAAGUUACUGCUCAAGGUGAAAUUGCGCAGGAUAAUACAAACAGACAGGUUAAGAGCGGCAACAUGCCGCAGCGAGUGUGAGACGCCAGUGCCCACAAAGUUCCUUACGGAACUUCGACAGACUAAUUCCUCUGACUUGUGCUCCAUAUCGUAAGUACACUCCCCCUUCAGUGACAUGGGACACAGGAUCCAGUGUUUCCUUGUAAAUAUUUUCAACAUCCCUGUUGUCCUAUAAGUACACCGAAACCUACACAUCUGGAGGAAAUGCUCCACAAGAAUGUACACAAAAAAGAUGCAAAAAAAUAAGUAUAAACACAAACAAGGGGAAAAAUCUUUGACACAUGUCCCCCCAUGUGAACUGUAUUGGGCAACAUUCGGAAAAAAAAAACAUUCAAAUAUGCUUAAAAUGCACAUCAAAAAACAAGGAAAAUCAAGAAUGUCUUAAAAAUUCACAUGUAUUUUUUCAGCCUACUUUUUAUGCCAUGUGAAUGUACUUUAUAUGAGUUUACUU